AGUUGUCAAGACACCUGAGCCAGUGAUCUGAACCAAGUCAUCAUUAACUACCUAUAGGCGAGUGGUCCAGAAGGGAGACAAGUCCCUUGGAGAAAUUAAUAAUUUCCCAGCCUGACAGGAGUGUGAAUGGCCCUCUCACCUUCCGUGAAAUCUUUCAAAGCUUGUUACAGACAUCAGUUCAUGAUGACUGUUUUUCCCACACACAAAAGGGUGUAUCCUGCUUUCCGCCCGAAGACUGUUGGGAUAGGGAUGGAUGGAUGGAUGUUUCCAACAUUUUGGAAACAUUUUGGCACUAAUGAACGGGGCUCACCCUAAACCCUGAGUGAAUUUUAAGGUGUCGACCAGAGGAGGAUUGGUUCCCCCUUUGAUUUGCCUUGACUUAAAAAAUAGCCCCCUCUCUCUCUCUCUCUCUCUCUCUCUCACACACUCUCUCUACUGCCCAGGAGAUGACUAAUCCCUGUGUCUGGAGUUGCAGGCUUUACAGAGGAGAGACGGUGGCUCCCGAUUGCAGGCUGACCUUUUCUCCACUCUCCUGGAUUACUGUACGCAUUUACAUUACUGUACACAACAGAUGAGCGAUGCUCGUCAGCUUGCUGCAAGACAACCUUUUGCUCCCAGUUUAAUGAGUUCCGUUUAUAUUGCUCCAGCAAGCCCACAAUAGAGAGCAAAGGUGAACGCCACAGAGAAACUUCGGCAUGACUCUAAAACUUUGCGAUAGAUAUAUGCUCUGUUAUUUAGCUCCAGAAGCAGAUGGGAUUUGCACAAAUUCUGCUUCAGAAAACGUGUAAAAACCAGCAAUUUUCAAGAUGAUUUAGUGAUCUACGGCAGUUUGGUUAACUCUUCUAACUCUUCAUUUUAUAAAAGUCCACUUGGCAAAACAAGCCUGAGAAACAGCUUUAAAGAAUCCUUAAAUAGUCAAAUCACUUUUGCUUAAAGAUUGUUCAUCAUCCAUCUUAAAGGCUGAUAGCAGAUGCAUUGUA
Long non-coding RNA from Pygocentrus nattereri (red-bellied piranha), 980 nucleotides. RefSeq lists it as uncharacterized. The transcript has 5 exons. The record is from RefSeq and is a predicted model, not a curated record. Lineage: Eukaryota; Metazoa; Chordata; Actinopteri; Characiformes; Serrasalmidae.